Molecule: ribosomal RNA, 434 nt
Filed under: uncultured bacterium
Lineage: Bacteria
Description: partial 16S ribosomal RNA
Rfam family: Bacterial small subunit ribosomal RNA
Source: RNAcentral
GCGAACGCUGGCGGCAGGCUUAACACAUGCAAGUCGCACGGGCAUAGCAAUAUGUCAGUGGCAGACGGGUGAGUAACGCGUGGGAACGUACCUUUUGGUUCGGAACAACACAGGGAAACUUGUGCUAAUACCGGAUAAGCCCUUACGGGGAAAGAUUUAUCGCCGAAAGAUCGGCCCGCGUCUGAUUAGCUAGUUGGUAGGGUAAUGGCCUACCAAGGCGACGAUCAGUAGCUGGUCUGAGAGGAUGAUCAGCCACAUUGGGACUGAGACACGGCCCAAACUCCUACGGGAGGCAGCAGUGGGGAAUAUUGGGCAAUGGGCGAAAGCCUGAUCCAGCCAUGCCGCGUGAGUGAUGAAGGCCCUAGGGUUGUAAAGCUCUUUUGUGCGGGAAGAUAAUGACGGUACCGCAAGAAUAAGCCCCGGCUAACUUCGUG